RNAcentral lists this ribosomal RNA (150 nucleotides) under Gymnopilus junonius. Its description in RNAcentral is "partial large subunit ribosomal RNA". The record is from RNAcentral. Lineage: Eukaryota; Fungi; Basidiomycota; Agaricomycetes; Agaricales; Galerinaceae.
AAACGCUUGAAGUCAGUCGCGUCGUCCGGAGAUCAACCUUGCUUUUGCUGGGCGUACUCUCCGGUUGACGGGCCAGCAUCAGUUUUGGCCACUGGAAAAGGGCGGAGGAAAUGUGGCAUCUUCGGAUGUGUUAUAGUCUUCCGUCGUAUA